GACGAACGCUGGCGGCGUGCUUAACACAUGCAAGUCGAACGAAGAGCGAUGGAAGCUUGCUUCUAUCAAUCUUAGUGGCGAACGGGUGAGUAACGCGUAAUCAACCUGCCCUUCAGAGGGGGACAACAGUUGGAAACGACUGCUAAUACCGCAUACGAUCUAACCUCGGCAUCGAGGAAAGAUGAAAGGUGGCCUCUAUGUAUAAGCUAUCACUGAAGGAGGGGAUUGCGUCUGAUUAGCUAGUUGGAGGGGUAACGGCCCACCAAGGCGAUGAUCAGUAGCCGGUCUGAGAGGAUGAACGGCCACAUUGGGACUGAGACACGGCCCAGACUCCUACGGGAGGCAGCAGUGGGGAAUCUUCCGCAAUGGACGAAAGUCUGACGGAGCAACGCCGCGUGAGUGAUGUCGGCCUUCGGGUUGUAAAGCUCUGUUAAUCGGGACGAAAGGCCUUCUUGCGAAUAGUGAGAAGGAUUGACGGUACCGGAAUAGAAAGCCACGGCUAACUACGUG
Molecule: ribosomal RNA, 510 nt
Filed under: uncultured bacterium
Lineage: Bacteria
Description: partial 16S ribosomal RNA
Rfam family: Bacterial small subunit ribosomal RNA
Source: RNAcentral